GAAUAUUGGACAAUGGGCGAAAGCCUGAUCCAGCCAUGCCGCGUGAGUGACGAAGGCCUUAGGGUUGUAAAGCUCUUUUGGCGGGGAAGAUAAUGACGGUACCCGCAGAAUAAGCCCCGGCCAACUUCGUGCCAGCAGCCGCGGUAAUACGAAGGGGGCUAGCGUUGUUCGGAAUCACUGGGCGUAAAGCGCACGUAGGCGGAUUUGCCAGUCAGGGGUGAAAUCCCGGGGCUCAACCUCGGAACUGCCUUUGAUACAGCAAGUCUUGAGUUCGAGAGAGGUGGGUGGAAUUCCUAGUGUAGAGGUGAAAUUCGUAGAUAUUAGGAAGAACACCGGUGGCGAAGGCGGCCCACUGGCUCGACACUGACGCUGAGGUGCGAAAGCGUGGGGAGCAAACAGG
This 400-nucleotide ribosomal RNA is filed under the name uncultured bacterium. RNAcentral's name for it is "bacterial SSU rRNA". It matches the Rfam family "Bacterial small subunit ribosomal RNA", at positions 359 to 776 of the family's 1533-position model. The record is from RNAcentral.